Molecule: small nucleolar RNA, 64 nt
Organism: Cajanus cajan (pigeon pea)
Lineage: Eukaryota; Viridiplantae; Streptophyta; Magnoliopsida; Fabales; Fabaceae
Rfam family: Small nucleolar RNA snoR101
Source: Rfam
GGUUUACACUUGAUCUCUGAACUUCAGGUAAGUUCUUAUGUUGACAAGUUCAUUCACUGAUGCU